RNAcentral lists this ribosomal RNA (811 nucleotides) under uncultured Alphaproteobacteria bacterium. RNAcentral describes it as "bacterial SSU rRNA". It matches the Rfam family "Bacterial small subunit ribosomal RNA", at positions 36 to 893 of the family's 1533-position model. Lineage: Bacteria; Pseudomonadati; Pseudomonadota; Alphaproteobacteria. The record is from RNAcentral.
CUGGCGGCAGGCUUACACAUGCAAGUCGAACGGUUGUAGCAAUACAGCAGUGGCGCACGGGUGAGUAACGCGUGGGAAUAUGCCCUUUAGUUCGGGAUAACGUCGGGAAACUGACGCUAAUACCGGAUACGCCCUUCGGGGGAAAGAUUUAUCGCUAAAGGAUUAGCCCGCGUGAGAUUAGGUAGUUGGUGGGGUAAUGGCCUACCAAGCCUACGAUCUCUAGCUGGUCUGAGAGGACGACCAGCCACACUGGAACUGAGACACGGGUCCAGACUCCUACGGGAGGCAGCAGUGGGGAAUAUUGGACAAUGGGGGAAACCCUGAUCCAGCCAUGCCGCGUGAAUGAUGAAGGCCUUAGGGUUGUAAGGUUCUUUUGUCAGGGAAGAUGAUGACGGUACCUGAAGAAUAAGCACCGGCUAACUUCGUGCCAGCAGCCGCGGUAAUACGAAGGGUGCUAGCGUUGUUCGGAAUCACUGGGCGUAAAGCGCGCGUAGGCGGCUUUUCAAGUCAGGGGUGAAAUCCUGAGGCUUAACCUCAGAAUUGCCUUUGAAACUGUAAAGCUGGAGUGUCGGAGGGGAUAGCGGAAUUCCUAAUGUAGCAGUGAAAUGCGUAGAUAUUAGGAGGAACACCGGUGGCGAAGGCGGCUAUCUGGACGACAACUGACGCUGAGGCGCGAAAGCGUGGGGAUCAAACAGGAUUAGAUACCCUGGUAGUCCACGCUGUAAACGAUGGAUGCUAGCCGUUGGGGGGUUCCCCCUCAGUGGCGUAGCUAACGCGUUAAGCAUCCCGCCUGGGGAGUACGGUCGCAAGA